Molecule: ribosomal RNA, 473 nt
Filed under: uncultured bacterium
Lineage: Bacteria
Description: bacterial SSU rRNA
Rfam family: Bacterial small subunit ribosomal RNA
Source: RNAcentral
UGGGGAAUUUUUCGCAAUGGGGGAAACCCUGACGAAGCAACGCCGCGCGGAGGAUGAAGGCCUUCGGGUCGUAAACUCCUGUCGACCGGGACGAACGCUAUUGGGCCCAAUACGCCCGAUAGUCGACUGUACCGGUGGAGGAAGCCACGGCUAACUCUGUGCCAGCAGCCGCGGUAAUACAGAGGUGGCAAGCGUUGUUCGGAAUUACUGGGCGUAAAGGGCGCGUAGGCGGUCCUGUCAGUCCCUUGCGAAAUCCCCCGGCCCAACUGGGGAACUGCAAGGGAUACAGCAGGGCUUGAGUUCGGGAGAGGGAAGCGGAAUUCCGGGUGUAGCGGUGAAAUGCGUAGAUAUCCGGAGGAACACCGGUGGCGAAGGCGGUUUCCUGGACCGAUACUGACGCUGAGGCGCGAAAGUGCGGGGAUCAAACAGGAUUAGAUACCCGAGUAGUCCCUGAGCGGGCUGGCAAGGCGCAU